This 773-nucleotide ribosomal RNA is filed under the name uncultured marine microorganism. RNAcentral describes it as "bacterial SSU rRNA". It matches the Rfam family "Bacterial small subunit ribosomal RNA", at positions 729 to 1501 of the family's 1533-position model. The record is from RNAcentral.
CUGGACGGUGACUGACGCUGAGGCACGAAAGCAUAGGUAGCAAACAGGAUUAGAUACCCUGGUAGUCUAUGCCGUAAACGAUGGGCACUAGUCGGUGCGGGUAUUGACCCCUGCGCUGACGAAGCUAACGCAUUAAGUGCCCCGCCUGGGGAGUACGGCCGCAAGGCUAAAACUCAAAGGAAUUGACGGGGGCCCGCACAAGCGGUGGAGCAUGUGGAUUAAUUCGACGCAACGCGCAGAACCUUACCUAGCCUUGACAUGUUAGCGUACGACCCCCAAAAGGGUCUGACCUUCGGGAACGCUUACACAGGUGCUGCAUGGCUGUCGUCAGCUCGUGUCGUGAGAUGUUGGGUUAAGUCCCGCAACGAGUGCAACCCCUACCCUUAGUUACCAGCGGUUCGGCCGGGCACUCUAGGGGAACUGCCGGUUUUAAGCCGGAGGAAGGUGGGGAUGACGUCAAGUCCUCAUGGCCCUUACGGCUAGGGCUUCACACGUGCUACAAUGGUUGGUACAAAGGGUCGCAAUACCGCGAGGUGGAGCCAAUCCCAAAAAACCAAUCUCAGUUCGGAUUGGAGUCUGCAACUCGACUCCAUGAAGUCGGAAUCGCUAGUAAUCGUGGAUCAGCAUGCCACGGUGAAUACGUUCCCGGGCCUUGUACACACCGCCCGUCACACCAUGGGAGUUGAUUGGACCAGAAGUCGUCGAGCUAACCUUCGGGAGGCAGGCGCCCAAGGUCUGAUGAGCGACUGGGGUGAAGUCGUAACAAGGUAGCC